UCGUAACAAGGUCUCCGUUGGUGAACCAGCGGAGGGAUCAUUACCGAGUUUACAACUCCCAAACCCCUGUGAACAUACCUAUACGUUGCCUCGGCGGAUCAGCCCGCGCCCUGUAAAACGGGACGGCCCGCCCGAGGACCCUAAACUCUGUUUUUAGUGGAACUUCUGAGUAAAACAAACAAAUAAAUCAAAACUUUCAACAACGGAUCUCUUGGUUCUGGCAUCGAUGAAGAACGCAGCAAAAUGCGAUAAGUAAUGUGAAUUGCAGAAUUCAGUGAAUCAUCGAAUCUUUGAACGCACAUUGCGCCCGCCAGUAUUCUGGCGGGCAUGCCUGUUCGAGCGUCAUUUCAACCCUCAAGCUCAGCUUGGUGUUGGGACUCGCGGUAACCCGCGUUCCCCAAAUCGAUUGGCGGUCACGUCGAGCUUCCAUAGCGUAGUAAUCAUACACCUCGUUACUGGUAAUCGUCGCGGCCACGCCGUAAAACCCCAACUUCUGAAUGUUGACCUCGGAUCAGGUAGGAAUACCCGCUGAACUUAAGCAUAUCAAUAA
This 550-nucleotide unclassified non-coding RNA is filed under the name Fusarium incarnatum. RNAcentral's name for it is "sequence contains 18S rRNA gene, ITS1, 5.8S rRNA gene, ITS2, 28S rRNA gene". The stretch from base 192 to 345 matches the Rfam family "5.8S ribosomal RNA". The record is from RNAcentral. Lineage: Eukaryota; Fungi; Ascomycota; Sordariomycetes; Hypocreales; Nectriaceae.